CCUUCGAAUCUUAGAUCAAAGAAACUCCGGCCAAAACGUCACCUUGCCCAAACACCACCAAAUUUACACCACAAGACUGCCUCCGUGUCCUCUAUCGAACCCCCUUAACCCCGUCCCUCGAAUCCUGCCGGAACUAUUCGAAUAUCAGUUUAAGUUUUUUCCGGCCAAAACCCUAGUCACACCAACUCGCCCCAAAAUGAUACCAUAUGUCCCUUGGGCCCUCCUCGUCAAGAAUUCAAUGUCAUUAACACUCAAUUCCCACCAGAGACGGCCGAAUUUGAAGUGUGAAAGUCAGCCGGACUUCGAGCCAUGGUACACAUUCUAAUCAUGUGUGAUGGAGCUGUGAAGUGAAGUAAUAAAAUGAAGUUUUCAUCCAUGCGAAUACCUGUAGUUUAAUUAGUAAUGCUUUAAUUUUAGUUCGUUGGAACUGUGUUGAAUUGGAACUAAUACUGGACUGUUCCGGGCUGUUUGAUCUCUGGUUAUUCAACAAUAGUUUUUUUUUUUUUAAAAUAGUAGGUAUUUCCUGAUUCUACUAGCCUCGUUCUGUUAAAAACUAAAAAUCAAAACAGUUUGUUAUUGCAGUAGGUAACAGGUAUUGAUGGAUGGAUAAUAGUUUAUUCUAGUUGUUACAGUUGUUAUCUAAUAAGUUGUGAAUAAAGUAAGUCCAGGUUAUUGGCCUGUUUAUGCUAGUGAAGUAUUUACGUAAUCAA
Long non-coding RNA from Nicotiana tabacum (common tobacco), 710 nucleotides. RefSeq lists it as uncharacterized. NCBI's taxonomy places the organism in Eukaryota, Viridiplantae, Streptophyta, Magnoliopsida, Solanales, Solanaceae. The record is from RefSeq and is a predicted model, not a curated record.